Molecule: ribosomal RNA, 1855 nt
Filed under: Candidatus Nitrosopumilus sp.
Lineage: Archaea; Thermoproteati; Nitrososphaerota; Nitrososphaeria; Nitrosopumilales; Nitrosopumilaceae
Description: Nitrosopumilus sp. partial 23S ribosomal RNA
Rfam family: Archaeal large subunit ribosomal RNA
Source: RNAcentral
AAGCGAAAGAGCGUGUUCUCGCCAAGACAGCAGGGAGGUAAGCUCAGAAGCAGCUAUCCUUUAAAAAGUGUGUAACAACUUACCUGCCGAGGGGGGAUGCCUCAAAAACGGACGGGGCUAAAGCAAAAUACCGAUACUUUAGAUAAUUAUCAAGAGAUGAUUCGUGGUAGGUUGGCGUAGUGAUUGGGCCGAAGCAGGGCGAUGACGUCCUGUGGACCGAUUUCUAUUGCAGAUCUUGGCGGCAGUAACAGCAUAGUAUUGUGAGAACCAAUACCACCGCAAGCGCAAGGGUUUCCAGGCAAUGCGUUAUCAGCCUGGAGGUAGUCGAUCCUAAGAUGUACCUCAACAGAGUUCAUCGAAUGGGAAACUAGUUAAUAUUCUAGUACCUUGUAUUGAUCGUUUGAUCUAUAUGGUUCGCUUCCGGAUAAGGAGUGUACAAUUAUCGUUGUAUCUAACUAUUCAAGGGUGAAGGAGUGUCGUAAUGACGAGAUCUCAUCCGAGGUAGGAAUGGCUUCGCGUUAGCGAAGUUUUCUUGAUUCCAGGAGACCAUGAAAGACUGUGUAGUUAGAAAGAUACAAGUUCGUACCCAGAACCGACACAGGUGCGCUGGCUUAGAAAGCUAAGGUGCUACGGGUAUACCGUAUGGCGAGGGAAUUCGGCAAAUUAGUCCUGUAGCUUAGGUAUAAGGGAUGCCUGCGGUCUUCAUGAGGAAUGGGGAUCGCAGGUUGCAAUGACAAGGGGGUUUCGACUGUUUAAUAAAAACACAGGCGACUGCUAGUCCGAAAGGAUUUGUAUAGUCGCUGAAUCCUGGCCGGUGCCGGUACCUAAAACUUGGGUUCAACCGAGCUAAGGGCCGGUUAACGCCGGGAGUAACUCUGACUCUCUUAAGGUAGCCAAAUGCCUUGUCGGGUAAGUUCCGACGCGCAUGAAUGGAACAACGAGAGCCCCACUGUCCCCGCCUACAACCCGGUGAAGCCACAUAAGGUGGACGAACAGUCCAUCAACUUCCAUCGGGGAGAGAAGACCCCGUGGAGUUUUACUGCAGCUUGUGCUUGUGGUAUAGUAAGAAUUGCACAGGGUAUCUGGGAGCUAUGCUUAACAUUCCCCGGGAUGUUAAUGAAGCAACGAUGUAACACCAGACUCUUUUUGCAGUACCACUUAUCCAGUGAAGACCGGAGACACGUGCAGGUGGGCAGUUCGGCUGGGGCGGCACCCCUUUGAAAAGAUAUCAAAGGGGCCCAAAGUUGAGUUCAAACGGGGCAGAAAUCCGUUGAAGAGGGCAAAGCCAAAAACUCGACUGAAUGGAUUUCCAAACGCACGGAAUUCAUAGACGAAAGUCUGGCUUAGCGAUCCUUCGUGUGCCCACUAUUGGGGCCCGGAGGUGACAGAAAAAUUACCCCAGGGAUAACAGGCUCGUCGCGGGCGAGAGCUCCUAUCGACCCCGCGGUUUGGUACCUCGAUGUCGGCUUUUCCUAUCCUGGUCCUGCAGCAGGGGCCAAGGGUGAGGCUGCUCGCCUAUUAAAAGGGAACAUGAGCUGGGUUUAGACCGUCGUGAGACAGGUCGGUCUCUGCCUGAUGGAAGCGCGAAUAACUGAGGGGAAGUUCCUCCUAGUACGAGAGGAACAGAGGAACGUCGCCACUGGUUUACCGGUUGUCUGAUAAGGCAGGCCGGGCAGCUAAGCGAUUUAGGCUAAGUGCUGAAAGCAUCUAAGCACGAAUCCUAUCCCGAGACAAGUUAUUCUUUCGUAAGAUGAAGGUCGGCAGCAAAAUACUGCGUUGAUAGGAAGGUGGUGUAGAUCACAAGCUUCGGCGAGUGGUGAGCCAGCCUUUACUAAUAGACCAACACAUCAGUUCA